GAUGAACGCUGGCGGCGUGCCUAAUACAUGCCAGUCGAGCGAACAGACGAGGAGCUUGCUCCUCUGACGUUAGCGGCGGACGGGUGAGUAACACGUGGAUAACCUACCUAUAAGACUGGGAUAACUUCGGGAAACCGGAGCUAAUACCGGAUAAUAUAUUGAACCGCAUGGUUCAAUAGUGAAAGACGGUUUUGCUGUCACUUAUAGAUGGAUCCGCGCCGCAUUAGCUAGUUGGUAAGGUAACGGCUUACCAAGGCGACGAUGCGUAGCCGACCUGAGAGGGUGGUCGGCCACACUGGAACUGAGACACGGUCCAGACUCCUACGGGAGGCAGCAGUAGGGAAUCUUCCGCAAUGGGCGAAAGCCUGAAGGAGCAACGCCGCGUGAGUGAUGAAGGUCUUCGGAUCGUAAAACUCUGUUAUUAGGGAAGAACAAAAGUGUAAGUAACUAUGCACGUCUUGACGGUACCUAAUCAGAAAGCCACGGCUAACUACGUG
RNAcentral lists this ribosomal RNA (497 nucleotides) under uncultured bacterium. RNAcentral's name for it is "partial 16S ribosomal RNA". It matches the Rfam family "Bacterial small subunit ribosomal RNA", at positions 28 to 507 of the family's 1533-position model. The record is from RNAcentral.